RNAcentral lists this ribosomal RNA (915 nucleotides) under uncultured archaeon. RNAcentral's name for it is "bacterial SSU rRNA". It matches the Rfam family "Archaeal small subunit ribosomal RNA", at positions 1 to 922 of the family's 1478-position model. The record is from RNAcentral.
UUCCGGUUGAUCCUGCCGGAAGUCACUGCUAUUGGGAUUCGACUAAGCCAUGCGAGUCGAGAGGGUUCGGCCCUCGGCAAACGGCUCAGUAACACGCGGAUAAUCUGCCCUUAGGUGGAGGAUAACCUCGGGAAACUGAGAAUAAUACUCCAUAGAUCUAGGAUGCUGGAAUGCACUUAGAUUGAAAGUUCCGGCGCCUAAGGAUGAGUCUGCGGACUAUCAGGUAGUAGUCAGGGUAAAGGCCUGACUAGCCUACGACGGAUACGGGUUGUGAGAGCAAUAACCCGGAGACGAUAUCUGAGACACGAUAUCGGGCCCUACGGGGCGCAGCAGGCGCGAAACCUUCACAAUGUGCGAAAGCGCGAUGAGGGGAUCCCAAGUGCUUGCUCGUAAGAGUAAGCUGUUUUUAUGUCUAAAACGCAUAGAGAGUAAGGGCUGGGUAAGACGGGUGCCAGCCGCCGCGGUAAUACCUGCAGCUCAAGUGGUGACCACUAUUAUUGGGCCUAAAACAUUCGUAGCCGGUUUGGUAAAUGCCUGGGUAAAUCGUGUAGCUUAACUAUACGAAUUCCGGGUAGACUGCCAAACUUGAGACCGGGAGAAGCUAGAGGUACUCCUUGGGUAGAGGUGAAAUUCUGUAAUCCUAGGGGGACCACCAGUGGCGAAGGCGUCUAGCUAGAACGGGUUUGACGGUGAGGAAUGAAGCCCUGGGGCGCAAACCGGAUUAGAUACCCGGGUAGUCCAGGGUGUAAACGCUGCUUGCUUGAUGUUAGUUGGGCUCCGAGCCCAAUUAGUGUCGGAGAGAAGUUGUUAAGCAAGCUGCCUGGGAAGUACGAUCGCAAGAUUGAAACUUAAAGGAAUUGGCGGGGGAGCACAGCAACGGGUGGAGCGUGCGGUUUAAUUGGAUUCAACGCCGGA